This 440-nucleotide ribosomal RNA is filed under the name uncultured bacterium. RNAcentral describes it as "partial 16S ribosomal RNA". It matches the Rfam family "Bacterial small subunit ribosomal RNA", at positions 338 to 795 of the family's 1533-position model. The record is from RNAcentral.
CCUACGGGUGGCAGCAGUGGGGAAUAUUGCACAAUGGGGGAAACCCUGAUGCAGCGACGCCGCGUGAGUGAAGAAGUACUUCGUUAUGUAAAGCUCUAUCAGCAGGGAAGAAAAUGACGGUACCUGAGUAAGAAGCGCCGGCUAACUACGUGCCAGCAGCCGCGGUACUACGUAGGGCGCACGCGUUAUCAGGAUUUACUGGGGGGAAAGGGAGCGUAGACGGCAGUGCAAGUCUGGUGUGAAAGACGGGGGCUCAACCCCCGGACUGCUCUGGAAACUGUACGGCUGGAGUGCAGGAGAGGUAAGUGGAAUUCCUAGUGUAGCGGUGAAAUGCGUAGAUAUUAGGAGGAACACCAGUGGCGAAGGCGGCUUACUGGACUGUAACUGACGUUGAGGCUCGAAAGCGUGGGGAGCAAACAGGAUUAGAUACCCUGGUAGUC